GGCUCGUUGGUCUAGGGGUAUGAUUCUCGCUUUGGGUGUAAGAGGUCCCGGGUUCAAAUCCUGGACGAGCCC
Non-coding RNA from Salmo salar (Atlantic salmon), 72 nucleotides. Lineage: Eukaryota; Metazoa; Chordata; Actinopteri; Salmoniformes; Salmonidae. The record is from Rfam.